Molecule: small nuclear RNA, 345 nt
Filed under: Saimiri boliviensis boliviensis (Bolivian squirrel monkey)
Lineage: Eukaryota; Metazoa; Chordata; Mammalia; Primates; Cebidae
Description: 7SK RNA (ENSSBOG00000012878.1)
Rfam family: 7SK RNA
About the family: 7SK was discovered as an abundant small nuclear RNA in the mid-70s but a possible function has only recently been suggested. Two independent studies have found that 7SK RNA binds the CDK9/cyclin T complex (known as elongation factor P-TEFb).
Source: RNAcentral
GGAUGUGAGGGCGAUCUGGUUGUGACAUCUGUCACCCCACUGAUCGCCAGGGUUGAUUUGGCUGAUCUGGCUGGCUAGGCGGGUGUCCCCUUCCUCCCUCACUGCUCCAUGUGCAUCCUUCCCGAACCUGUGCGCUCAGUCAAAGAGGACGCCCAUCCCCAAUAGAGGAGGACCGGUCUUCAGCCAAGGGUAUACGAGUAGCUGUGCUCCCCCUGCUAGAACCUCCAAAUGAGCUCUCAAGAAAACAUGAACAUAUAAACUCACUGGCUUCUCACAAAUGAGAAUGAGAGAAGAUUCAACUGUUACCGCUAUAGAAAACUGUUAAACUACAAUGAUAAGUAAUAA